UUGCAUUCGUCAAAGUAGUGGACCUGGGUGAUCUUUGGGAAGGACCUUGCGACAAGGAUGUGGGGCCCAGCAGCGGUUUUUCCUCCGCGGUUGACAAGCCGUUGCCGGAUGAAGAUCCCAGGAAGUUGCGCCGGCCGUCCUUUGGCUACUUCAUUUCGAGCAGUUCCAUAACCAACCCGAAAUUGGCUGAGAUCUUGGCAGAAAUGCUGAACUUGGGAAAUAACGCACAUCGGCACAUAGUCAUGGAGUGCAAUCCAGGUCCUGGAGUCCUGACUAAGGCAUUACUAGAAACUGGUGCUUCAGUGAUUGCGCUUGAAAGUCACAAAAAGUUUAUUCCACACUUGAAGUCCUUAGGGGAAAAGCUGAAUGGAAGACUAGAAGUGGUCCAUUGUGACUUUUUUAAAAUGGAUCCUAGCAAUCAUAAUCUGAUACUCCUUUUAAAGUAGUUGGAAUGCUCCCUGUGAAGAAUGAGAGAAAGGCACUUUGGAAACUUUUACAUGAUAUGUAUACUUGUUCUUCUAUAUAUAGAUAUGGCCGAGUAGAGCUAUAUAUGUUUAUUAGUGAAAGCCAGUUUGAGAAACUAAUCGCAGGUCCCACAAAUCCAUACUUGUAUCAUGUGUUAAGUGUGCUGUGGCAAGUAUCUUGUGAGAUUAAGCUUCUCUA
Octodon degus (degu) is the source of this 663-nucleotide long non-coding RNA. RefSeq lists it as uncharacterized. NCBI's taxonomy places the organism in Eukaryota, Metazoa, Chordata, Mammalia, Rodentia, Octodontidae. The record is from RefSeq and is a predicted model, not a curated record. The transcript has 3 exons.